UACGAAGGUGGCAAGCGUUGUUCGGAUUUACUGGGCGUACAGGGAGCGUAGGCGGUUGGAUAAGCCCUCCGUGAAAUCUCCAGGCUUAACCCUGGAAAGUGCAGAGGGGACUGUUCAGCUAGAGGAUGGGAGAGGAGGCGCGGAAUUCCCGGUGUAGCGGUGAAAUGCGUAGAGAUCGGAGGAAGGCCGGUGGCGAAGGCGGCGCUCUGGAACAUUCUGACGCUGAGCUCGAAGCGUGGGAGCAACAGG
Molecule: ribosomal RNA, 249 nt
Filed under: uncultured bacterium
Lineage: Bacteria
Description: partial 16S ribosomal RNA
Rfam family: Bacterial small subunit ribosomal RNA
Source: RNAcentral